Esox lucius (northern pike) is the source of this 4140-nucleotide long non-coding RNA. NCBI's taxonomy places the organism in Eukaryota, Metazoa, Chordata, Actinopteri, Esociformes, Esocidae. The record is from Ensembl.
AUGCUAAAGCCCCACCUAAAAUAGGCCUAGCGACAUCCCUGGUAGCUGGUACCAGAUACCUAUUUUUGUACCUGCUUCGUCGAGGUUCCAAGCGAGCUGAGGCGAUACCCAAAUGUGCCGUGAAAACACGGAAGACUUCGGAUUGGACUCAAAGCGUGCAGCAAAGCAAAACAAGCUUUUCUGUUGUUAGCCGUCCAGUGUCAGAAAAUUGUUUUAUGAGAUGAGAACAGCAUGUCUUUGCCAGUCUGUCCCAGGAGUCCUUGCAUUGAGAUUGAUUAAUUCAGUGCCAGUGCAUAGGACCCGACUCAUAAUUUAAGUGUUCGUAUUUUCACAAAACUCCAAUAGUUUGGACCUAUUCACUGGCAUUGAAAUCAACUCGUUAACCCCAUGAGAAACACACAGACACUCUGUUUUUGAGCCUACAAAAGGACCUCGUCUUUUUCCUCUGGGAUUUUCUAAAGGCUGUCUGGCAUACAUUGCACUGGUCAAAGUAGCAAUGUCAAGCCAAACAGAAGCAGCCUACAAAGCUUUCUAAUUAUUUUUGCAGUCUGCAAUGUAUUAAGACCAAAGUUACUGCUCAGACGUGCUUCCUCGCUACUACCAGCAUAAACGCUGCCUUGUGUACAGUAGGCUACUGAGUCAGUCAGCAAUUAUUUAUACCUUUUAAUCGGGUUUUAGAGGUUGUGUAGGUUAUUUUACAUGUGUUUGUGUUGAGUUGUUAGGUGUAUACACUUAAAUCUAACAGAACAUUGCAGUUACGUCAUCUUUAAUUUAUAUUAUACCUUUUCACUGUUUUUCAAACAGGGUCUGUGACCAUGUCAUCCAGAUUUAGUUUACUUUUCAUUUGCCACUUUAUGUUCAAAGCUUGUCAAUUUAAAAGAAAAUGUAUGUUAAUUCAGUGGAUUUGUCUGUUCACAGCAGGGUUCAUGUUAGUUGGCAAAUGCUGGCUUUUGGCUGGUAUCAGGUAUACGAUAUCUCCAUUGUUGUUCUCGUGUGUGUCGCGUUGGAGGUGGCGUCACAACAGUUUUCCUGUGAUGUCAUUAUGGGCGGGUACAGGGUACAAUCUGCAGUGGAGAACCAACCAAGGCGCGGCGUGUAGAGCCGAGUCAAGCUGGUCUUAUGUGGUGGAAAAGCUCCCAAAGCGAGUAGAGUUGAGGUGAGGCGAGUUGAGCCGAGUCGAGCUGGCCUUAUGUGGUUGAAAAGCUCCCAAAGCGAGUAGAGUCGAGGUGAGGCGAGUUGAGCCGACACCAUGCAAUGGAAAAGCACCAUUAGAUGGAUAUUUAUUCCUGACUAACAGGUUACAUCACUGUGCAGUGAGUUUCAAAGCCUCAAGAAAAACAAACAAUUUUUAUUGAAAGCCUCAAACGCUUCAGAAAGCCUAAUUUGCCUAUCACUACCUAGCCCUAACCUUAAUAAAUAGCCCUAACCUUAAUACAUAGCCUUAACCCUAAUAGAUAGCUCUAACCUUAAUACCUAGCCCUAAACUUAACAUAUAGCCCUAACCCUAAUACCGAGCCCUAACUUUAACAUUUCUUGGACACUGGACACAGGCACAGAGGUAUUGAAACAAACUUACUUUACAGUAAAUACUCAUGAACAUCAAACGUUGCAUGGAACAAUGACAGACAACAAAAACUAGGGCUGGAGGAACUCAAAUAGGGACAUAAAGAGGAGGCAAACAAGGAUUAGGGGAUUACCAUAGUGACACUAAACUAAACAUAAAAUCAGAGGUACUAGAACUGGAAGAUAUAGAAUAUAGAAACGAAACGACCGGCACAGCACAAACUUUCGGUCCUGGCUGGGGGCCCCUAGGCAUCUCUAUGCGUGUGGGGGUCACAGUCAGGGCAUUGCUACAGAGGUGCCUCUAGGCACCUCUAUGUUCCCUUUACUCCCUUUUAGCGGAAGCUGCCCUGUGUUACCUCUAAUUGGGGACUCUAUUUAAGUUGCCUUUAUUGGGCCUUUAGUUGUGGAUCAUUGCUUGUCCCAGUCAUGUCUGCGUUAUGUGCCUCAGUUCACAUUGUAGCGCGCCUUAUUUUUUUUUCUUUCUGUUCAAGAAUAAAAAAGGAUGUUUCCCUGUCACUCCUCUGUGCCGUCUGUCCUUCCUGCACUUCAGCGUGAUACAGGCCAUGACGGACCGUGACACUAACAUUAAUACCAAGCCCUAACUUUAAUACAUAGCCCAAACUUUCAUACCAAGCCCUAACUUUAGUAUAUAGCCCUAACUUUAAUACAUAGCCCUAACCACAAUAUCUUAUAUAAUUGUAAAGGAUUAAUGUAUUACCAUAUCCAUAUUUAUCCAUUAUUCUGAAAAUUAAAUAGACUGUUUUAGACUAGGCCUGAAUUUGCAUUAGACUGUUCAUGGUUGUCAUAGAUACAAGAAGACCUAGGUCAGCAUGCCCUGUUCUUAGAAGUGAUUAUGGCCACAACCAAGGCACCAGGCCUCAAACCUAUCUUAUCUAUGACCCAACUAAAGAUGGCUCCAAGGUGAAGUUGCCUGUGUCUCCUCUGUAUCCUUCCAUUUGGGCAGAACAGAGUCUAGGGGUAGCUCAGAUAAGGUGCUCUGUUAACUCUGACCUAGAACUAUGGUUGCCAUGACAGUGUAGGGUCCUAUCUUGCUUUCCUUAUUAGUAUGACGACUUGUUUUUGUAUGUAUGAGAGAAUAUUUUUGGAGCUGACAAGGAGGGGUAUAAAGAGGUUAAAGAAAUAAUGUAUAAUCAGAACAAUUGUUAUGACACUACAAUGUUGGUCUCUGUGUAAAAGCGAUUGUUCCCGUGAAUAGACAUAAUUAAACUCAAAUAAUUAAUUGUUAUACGAACGACUGUUGAGUCUCUUUUCUCAAUUUGGCACCCCAGAUGGGACUUCAAUAUCUUCACGACAAUUAUGUUUGCUUUUCUAUUCUCUCUGGCUGACUGAACUACGUGCACAAUAGAAGUAAGCGAAAUGUUCGCAGUAGUUCAUAUGAGUCUGUUUUGGGAAUUGUUUGCCCCGGAGCGGGAAGUGACAAAGUCCAAUUUAUAUAUACAAAAUACCAGUUGAUUAUGGAUGUUACAUGUUUUAUUAUUGUCUUGUAUUGUUAUAUAUAUAUAUACAGUCUUUAGAGGUUUUUUAAAAUAAACUAAAGACCAACUUAUUUUCGAUUGCAUUUUCUUUAUAUAAUUUUGUUUUUAUACUGUUUUUGACUGUUCUUAUGUUUUAGUGUUUUUAUCUGUGCAUCUGUAGCACUUUGAGAUGUGUCCUUCACGUGUAAAGUGCAAUACAAAUAAAACGUAUUAUUAUUAUUAUAUAUAAAAUUAAUAUAAAAUUAAAAACAGAAAGACGAUAUCGAAACUAGGAAAAAGUAAUCACUGACAGGGAUAAACAAGAAACCAGUUCAGCCGGCCCGCAAUAAAAAGUGUUGCCCUCUCAAGAUUCAAACCCAGGACACCCAUGUGAAAGGCUGUGUUGUUAACCACUACACCACAGAGCUGUACAUUCAGCAGUUGUCCAUAUAGCCUCUUGUGUUUAUCUUGAUCAAAUCCUCUUUUGCCACUGGCAAUUCGUGAAUGACAUUGAUAUAGUCAAACUGACUAACGUUUCUUACUAAGUUUACCUCCACCGUUUUAACAGCAUAUUAGCCAGUAAUAGGCUUUACCGCUGUCUACUAACUUACUGGUGAGAGGAAAUGGGCAUGAGAAACUUAACACAACGCAUAUGUGCUGACUAAUGCUGAACAGCGGACAAUAGAUGUGGCCAUUACUGAUAGGCCCCACACAACCUGUCCACACCUCCUGCUAGGAACUGUCCAUAGGAGUGUCAUAGAUUCUAUCGAUAGACCCAUGGACCAUAGGGGAGGUUGGAACAUACCAAACAAGCAUAUUGUGUAGGAUAAACCUUUCUUAUUGGAGGAUAAUAGAUUGUGUAAUGGUUGGCUACAAUCACUGACCGCCUACUAUGUGUAUUGGCAUAAAAGACUGUGUUAACUCUGUAAUUAUUGGAGAGAAAAUGAAAGAAUGAAAGGUUAACAUCGUAGCCUCAUACUGAAUAAAGAUUGCUCUCCCCUGACUUUCGGUUGCAAUUAUUUUGUUCAUGGAUCAAAACUGGACAGAAUCUAACACUGGAAUAAUCAUAAGAACUGAGCAAUUGCUAGCGAGUCUGCCAAAG